CACCUGCACAGGUGCUGCAUGGCUGUCGUCAGCUCGUGUCGUGAGAUGUUCGGGUUAAGUCCCGCAACGAGCGCAACCCUUAUCCCUAGUUGCCAUCAGGUAAGCUGGGAACUCUGGGGAGACUGCCGGUGAUAAACCGGAGGAAGGCGGGGAUGACGUCAAGUCCUCAUGGCCCUUACAUCCCGGGCUACACACGUGCUACAAUGGCAGGUACAGAGGGCUGCGAAGCCGCGAGGUGGAGCGAAUCCCAGAAAACCUGUCUCAGUCCGGAUUGAAGUCUGCAACUCGACUUCAUGAAGGCGGAAUCGCUAGUAACCGCGAAUCAGCAGGUCGCGGUGAAUACGUUCCCGGGCCUU
This 356-nucleotide ribosomal RNA is filed under the name uncultured Latescibacterota bacterium. RNAcentral describes it as "bacterial SSU rRNA". It matches the Rfam family "Bacterial small subunit ribosomal RNA", at positions 1027 to 1382 of the family's 1533-position model. Lineage: Bacteria; Pseudomonadati; Candidatus Latescibacterota. The record is from RNAcentral.